CUCUUGGUGGAAAUAUUAAAUGAUGCAGGAAUGUGAAAAAUAUAUGUACCUGUAUUGAAUGUUUGCUUCCAGGACAUAUGUUGCAAACUUUCUAGACAAGUACAUUUUGGAGGAGGUUGUAUAUAUGUGCCAGGUGAUUGUUUGGAGGAGCCAGGAGGUUGUUUAUAUGUGCCAUAAUAAUGUUACUGGAUACAGCAAUAUGAUAGUGUUUAAAUGUGCAUAAUACAUGUAUGAUGUUAGUGCUGCUCAAUAUAGAAAGUUGUGUGUAGGGUAAAGUCCCUCCUGCAAGAAAUCCCUCCGACUGAUUUUUGAAUAGGUGGACACAACCCCUCCCAUUAAUGUUCUUUUUAUGCCCCCGGCAUCUACUGAUGCAGGAGGCAUAUAGUGAUUGUCCUGUCCGUCCUUCCGUUCGUCCAUCCGUACGAGGUUAACUAAAUGGGACCGUUUCGUCUAGCAUCAGUACCCCUUAUUAGAAUGACUUGAUACUAAUGCAGAUGUAACCUGUGACCAUUCCUCAUCUUCAAACAUCACCUGACCUCAGUUUGACCUUGACCUUGUUUUGGACUUAGGUUGCUUUGUAUGGGCCAUCUCUUGGUUAACCAAAUGGGACCGUUUCGUCUAGCAUCAAUACCCCUGACUAGAAUGACUUGAUACUAAUGCAGAUGUAACCUGUGACCAUUCCUCAUCUUCAAACAUCACCUGGACUCAGUUUGACCUUGAACUUGACCUCGAUUUGGACUUGGGUUGCUUUGUAUCAACAAGGAUGCUACCGGUGGCACCAAGCGUUUAUUGAACGCAGCUUCUUGUUUUUACUUAAAAUAUUUCAAAGACAUUAACUAAAUUUGAUGCUGAAAUAAAAAAAAAGUAUUUUCAUAAAUUCUUUGCUAAAUCA
This is a long non-coding RNA of Mercenaria mercenaria, 892 nucleotides long. RefSeq lists it as uncharacterized. The record is from RefSeq and is a predicted model, not a curated record. The transcript has 2 exons. Lineage: Eukaryota; Metazoa; Mollusca; Bivalvia; Venerida; Veneridae.